UUGCAAGCAUCCUACUACUGCUUGUAAUGGAAGGACUAUGGGAACACAGUGUAUUUGUGAUUUUAGUAACAUAGGGGAAAAAGGUACAGGCUGUAUUUAAGAUGUAUAAAAGUUCUAUACUUUUCUGUGUUGCCUUCUGGAUUUCUAAAAAGUUUUCUAAUUCAUUCCAUAAAGUUUUAAGCUUUUCUUUUUAUUCCAAUAAAAUACGAACAGUUGGGCAAACUGUAGGCCAGAACUUGAUUCAUGUGGAUAUGCCUGGCAAAGAUGGACAGCAGGCUGACAUCUGACAUCAGCAGGCUAGCUCUCUGGAGAAUUAGAUUUCAAAGUUAAGCCCUAGAGCUUCAAGUUUGCUCAGAYUGACGUGCUUGUACACAUACACUUCCUCUCUCUCCAUCUUCUAGCUGAUCCUGCCUGAGAAGAGCAUCCUGCAGUCAGCAACCAGAGGAUUGAAGAGCCCUAACACAUCUAGUUUGUCUGGGAACCCAGGAAAGAUUUGUUUCCUGACUCUCCRGCUACAAAAUAUUUGCUAUGAGAAGGAAGAAAGCAUGAGGGUCUGCUUUGGCAGCAAGCCUGCUCCUCCAAAAGAAGCUAUAUUUGUACAAAACAAGGAAAACAAAAUCUAGCAGACGCAGUCUUCCCACAUGUAUUUUCGUUCACUGGGCAAACACUAUGGUCAGAACUAAUGGAGUAUUGGAAUCCUGCAUGAACUUCUGAGGAUCUAUUUAGGACUUUUUCUUUCACUUUAUAAAACUUUUUUUUUCCUGCUACAUGUAUAUUGUAAACAAAUUUAAGACCAUUGAAACAUGAAUUCAUAAGAUGCUGUUCGUAACUCUGCUGUUCCAAGAGGAAGGCAGGAACAAACUGAUUCAGGAAUGUCACCCACCAGGACCAGUUUCUUUGUGCCCCCGGGCAGAGCAGGCCAGCACUAGAGCCCUUGAGCAGGUACAUUACUUUUCUGUGUCCAUCCCCUCCUGCCCUGUGUGUGAUGCCAAAGGGGGACCGGAACUCUUUUCUAGCAGCAACAUGGGUAUGAAAUAGCAACUUAGCUCUUUAUUUUUCCCCAUUAUAGCUGUGCAUGAGUCAAUAAUUAGAUUGUAGAAACAAUCUA
This is a long non-coding RNA of Nothoprocta perdicaria, 1108 nucleotides long. RefSeq lists it as uncharacterized. The record is from RefSeq and is a predicted model, not a curated record. The transcript has 2 exons. NCBI's taxonomy places the organism in Eukaryota, Metazoa, Chordata, Aves, Tinamiformes, Tinamidae.